Molecule: ribosomal RNA, 334 nt
Filed under: uncultured bacterium
Lineage: Bacteria
Description: bacterial SSU rRNA
Rfam family: Bacterial small subunit ribosomal RNA
Source: RNAcentral
UGAGUAUAGUGGCGCACGGGUGAGUAAUACAUAGGAACGUACCCAUUAGUGGGGAAUAACCACGGGAAACUGUGGCUAAUACCGCAUGACGACGCGAGUCCAAAGCAGGCCUCUGUUUACAAGCUUGCGCUGAUAGAGCGGCCUAUGUCCCAUUAGCUAGUUGGUAGGGUAAUGGCCUACCAAGGCGACGAUGGGUAACUGGUCUGAGAGGAUGAUCAGUCACACUGGGACUGAGACACGGCCCAGACUCCUACGGGAGGCAGCAGUGGGGAAUAUUGGACAAUGGGCGCAAGCCUGAUCCAGCCAUGCCGCGUGGGUGAUGAAGGCCCUAGGG